AGAGUUUGAUCAUGGCUCAGAACGAACGCUGGCGGCAGGCCUAACACAUGCAAGUCGAGCGCUACCUUCGGGUGGAGCGGCGGACGGGUUAGUAACGCGUGGGAACAUACCCUUUUCUACGGAAUAGCCUCGGGAAACUGAGAGUAAUACCGUAUAAGCCCUUCGGGGGAAAGAUUUAUCGGGAAAGGAUUGGCCCGCGUUAGAUUAGAUAGUUGGUGGGGUAAUGGCCUACCAAGUCUACGAUCUAUAGCUGGUUUUAGAGGAUGAUCAGCAACACUGGGACUGAGACACGGCCCAGACUCCUACGGGAGGCAGCAGUGGGGAAUCUUAGACAAUGGGCGAAAGCCUGAUCUAGCCAUGCCGCGUGAGUGAUGAAGGUCUUAGGAUCGUAAAGCUCUUUCGCUAGGGAUGAUAAUGACAGUACCUAGUAAAGAAGCCCCGGCUAACUCCGUGCCAGCAGCCGCGGUAAUACGGAGGGGGCUAGCGUUGUUCGGAAUUACUGGGCGUAAAGCGUACGUAGGCGGAUCAGAAAGUAUGGGGUGAAAUCCCAGGGCUUAACCCUGGAACUGCCUCAUAAACUCCUGGUCUUGAGUUCGAGAGAGGUGAGUGGAAUUGCGAGUGUAGAGGUGAAAUUCGUAGAUAUUCGCAGGAACACCAGUGGCGAAGGCGGCUCACUGGCUCGAUACUGACGCUGAGGUACGAAAGUGUGGGGAGCAAACAGGAUUAGAUACCCUGGUAGUCCACACCGUAAACGAUGAAUGCCAGUCGUCGGGCAGUAUACUGUUCGGUGACACACCUAACGGAUUAAGCAUUCCGCCUGGGGGAGUACGGUCGCAAGAUUAAAACUCAACGAACUUGACGGGGGCCCGCACAAGCGGU
Molecule: ribosomal RNA, 879 nt
Filed under: uncultured bacterium
Lineage: Bacteria
Description: bacterial SSU rRNA
Rfam family: Bacterial small subunit ribosomal RNA
Source: RNAcentral